Molecule: long non-coding RNA, 1067 nt
Filed under: Helianthus annuus (common sunflower)
Lineage: Eukaryota; Viridiplantae; Streptophyta; Magnoliopsida; Asterales; Asteraceae
Description: hypothetical non coding rna
Source: RNAcentral
AAGAAUUUGUUGUUACACUAUAAAGUUCAUGGGAUAGAUAUUGGUCUUUGUGGAUUGUAGAACAUGUUCCAUCUUGAUAAUUACACGAGUACAAUGACUUGUGGUAUAAGAAGUACUUCGUAUAGAUUGAUACACUUGUGAAAUAGUGAAAAUACAUCGAUAUCAUAUUACAUGUCAGUAUACAAUGCUCUCUAUUGUUUAACGUAAUAAUAAUUUAUAAGUCAAAAUAGUUAACGCUAAUCAGCAUGACCUUAUACUGAUUGACCCACAUAAAAACAUUAACCCGUUAUGUUUCUCGCGGUCCAUCGAAAGAUUGAGUCUUUCUCAGGUUCCAAUGCAGGCCAUCAUGGAUGCUGUGCAAAAAGUCAUUGGUUGAAUCCCCUCUACAGGCUGUGGGUACCGGCCAAACCGACAUGCUACACACAAGUGCGUCACCUGGAGCCAACUGUUUCCUAUCUUUCCCGUCAAAUGAUGCCCAUGCAUGACCUCGACUGUUGAACGGAACUUGGAUCCGAAGUGUUACAUACUCGGGUAAUAUCAGAGGCCGGAAAGAUAAGGAAUGCGGACAGAUUGGAGUGAAUAAUAUGCCGGGAACCUGCAUGUUUUGUUUCAAGUCAUGUAAAGAAGUGAUUUAUGAAAAUAGAGUGCAAGCAGUAUUGUUUAAGAAUGAAGGGGAAACAUCGCAAAACGUACCUGUGGAUGGACCAUCGAACCUCCAGCCGCAAGCGAGUAAGCAGUGCUCCCUGAAGUUGUUGAUAAAAUCAAUCCGUCUCCUUGUACACAUGUGACAAAUGAGUUAUCACAAUAGCAUUCCAAAUUGGUAAGGAAUGAUGAAAUCCCACGGUCGAUCGUAACUUCAUUCAACACAAGUAUUGGCUCUUCAGUCUCAUAUUCGUUUUUAGCUGCUUCACGAAUCACAUGGCACUGCAAUCGAUUCCUAAGCGUAAUACUGAUGGGACCUUGUAGGAUUGAUUUCAAACAUUCUCUGUAUUGUUCACUAUAAGGAUACGAAAUGGAGUCAUGAAGCCCAAAGAACCCAUAGAGAAUGGCACGAUUGGAGGAACGGG